GAUGAACGCUAGCGAUAGGCCUAACACAUGCAAGUCGAGGGGCAGCACAUGCGUAGCAAUACAAUGGUGGCGACCGGCGCACGGGUGAGUAACACGUAUGCAACCUACCUUUAACAAGGUGAUACCCCGUUGAAAGACGGACUAAUAACCUAUAAAACAGGGAUCCCGCAUGGGAAUAUUUGUUAAAGAUUUAUCGGUUAAAGAUGGGCAUGCGUUCCAUUAGAUAGUUGGUGAGGUAACGGCUCACCAAGUCAACGAUGGAUAGGGGAACUGAGAGGUUUAUCCCCCACAUUGGAACUGAGACACGGUCCAAACUCCUACGGGAGGCAGCAGUGAGGAAUAUUGGUCAAUGGAGGCAACUCUGAACCAGCCAAGUCGCGUGAAGGAAGACUGCCCUAAGGGUUGUAAACUUCUUUUGUAAGGGAAUAAAGUGUAGUACGUGUACUAUUUUGCAUGUACCUUAGAAUAGGAUCGGCUAACUCCGUG
RNAcentral lists this ribosomal RNA (486 nucleotides) under uncultured bacterium. Its description in RNAcentral is "bacterial SSU rRNA". It matches the Rfam family "Bacterial small subunit ribosomal RNA", at positions 28 to 507 of the family's 1533-position model. The record is from RNAcentral.